AGACGUCUACAUUAGAUACCCGGGUAGUCCCAGCCGUAAACUAUGCGCGUUAGGUGUAUCGGUGACCACGUGUUACUGAUGUGCCGAAGAGAAAUCGUGAAAAGCACCACCUGGGAAGUACGGUCGCAAGGCUGAAACUUAAAGGAAUUGGCGGGGGAGCACCACAACAGGUGGAGCCUGCGGUUUAAUUGGAUUCAACGCCGGACAUCUCACCGGAUAAGACAGCUGAAUGAUUGUCAAUCUGAAGGUUUUACAUGACUAGCUG
Molecule: ribosomal RNA, 265 nt
Filed under: uncultured archaeon
Lineage: Archaea
Description: partial 16S ribosomal RNA
Rfam family: Archaeal small subunit ribosomal RNA
Source: RNAcentral